RNAcentral lists this transfer RNA (68 nucleotides) under Phrynosoma modestum. RNAcentral describes it as "tRNA-Ala". It matches the Rfam family "tRNA". From Rfam's summary of the family: Transfer RNA (tRNA) molecules are approximately 80 nucleotides in length. The record is from RNAcentral. Lineage: Eukaryota; Metazoa; Chordata; Lepidosauria; Squamata; Phrynosomatidae.
GAGGCCUUAGCUUAAUUAAAGUGUCUGGUUUGCAUUCAGGAGAUGCGUUUUAGUAUUCGCAGGUCUUA